UAGAGGGGGGUCAGAUGGUCAGCGGGCUUGGGGAGGUCCUGCAUGCGGUGAAUCAUCGACGAGGAGCUCCGGUGGCCGGCGAUGAAGAUGAUGCAGGAGACGGCGGUGGAGAGCGUUUGAGCUCGAUUCCUCUGGGUCAAGAUGGGGAGGAGAACGACGGAGCUAGGGGACACAGUGGCUGGGCUAGAGGGGGCAGGUGGCCACGAUGGUUGCGAGCGGCGGUGACUGUAGCGCCCGGGCAUGGCGGGGAGAGGCGAAAAAACGAGAGAGAGAGGAAUGAGAGGGUC
RNAcentral lists this long non-coding RNA (287 nucleotides) under Hordeum vulgare. RNAcentral's name for it is "long non-coding RNA (HVUL_LNC010622)". Lineage: Eukaryota; Viridiplantae; Streptophyta; Magnoliopsida; Poales; Poaceae. The record is from RNAcentral.